UGAAAUAAUGUAGGUGAGGGAAUUCAUCAAAAUAGAUCUUUAAUUCAAGGAAAUAGAUUUACAUUGAGAGCUAGGCAUAAGGGUCCUAGUCUCAGACCCGUUAGUGGAUUGCUCAAGUUGUUUCCGCAGAAAGAGUGGGCCACCACAUGCUAGCUGGGAGCCGGGGCAUCAAACAACAAACUCAAAACAGGUCCGAACUAGGGAUAUUCUACUAUUAUUAAAUUAAAAUAAAGCAUUAUAGUGGUCCUAAUGGAUAUCUACACAACAUGAAUUCUGCUCAAUGACAUAUGAAAGGAUUAAGAAGAUUCCUACUAUCCAGUGAAACCACAGCCAAUAAAUCAAACUUGG
This 348-nucleotide non-coding RNA is filed under the name Solanum tuberosum (potato). RNAcentral describes it as "Eukaryotic large subunit ribosomal RNA". It matches the Rfam family "Eukaryotic large subunit ribosomal RNA", at positions 1891 to 2388 of the family's 3401-position model. Lineage: Eukaryota; Viridiplantae; Streptophyta; Magnoliopsida; Solanales; Solanaceae. The record is from Rfam by way of RNAcentral.